RNAcentral lists this ribosomal RNA (254 nucleotides) under uncultured bacterium. RNAcentral describes it as "partial 16S ribosomal RNA". It matches the Rfam family "Bacterial small subunit ribosomal RNA", at positions 524 to 776 of the family's 1533-position model. The record is from RNAcentral.
GACGUAGGGAGCAAGCGUUGUUCGGAUUUACUGGGCGUAAAGGGCGCGUAGGCGGCAAAUUAAGUCAGCUGUGAAAUCUCCGAGCUUAACUCGGAACUGUCAGCUGAUACUGAUCUGCUAGAGUGCGGAAGGGGCAAUCGGAAUUCUUGGUGUAGCGGUGAAAUGCGUAGAUAUCAAGAGGAACACCUGAGGUGAAGACGGGUGGCUGGGCCGACACUGACGCUGAGUGCGCGAAAGCCAGGGGAGCAAACGGG